GGGAACUACGAGCCAAGCUUAAAACCCAAAGGACUUGACGGUACCCCAUAUCCCCCUAGAGGAGCCUGUCCUAUAAUCGAUACCCCCCGUUCAACCUCACCAUUUCUAGCAACUCAGCCUGUAUACCUCCGUCGUCAGCUUACCCCGUGAGCGCUAGUGAGCUCAAUGUUUUUUCAACUAAACGUCAGGUCAAGGUGCAACACAUGAAAUGGGAAGAGAUGGGCUACACUUUCUAACAUAGACCACACGGAAGACUAACUAUGAAAUCUAGUCAGAAGG
This 279-nucleotide ribosomal RNA is filed under the name Ranitomeya ventrimaculata (Amazonian poison frog). RNAcentral's name for it is "partial 12S ribosomal RNA". It matches the Rfam family "Bacterial small subunit ribosomal RNA", at positions 875 to 1289 of the family's 1533-position model. Lineage: Eukaryota; Metazoa; Chordata; Amphibia; Anura; Dendrobatidae. The record is from RNAcentral.